Cyanistes caeruleus (blue tit) is the source of this 398-nucleotide long non-coding RNA. RefSeq lists it as uncharacterized. NCBI's taxonomy places the organism in Eukaryota, Metazoa, Chordata, Aves, Passeriformes, Paridae. The record is from RefSeq and is a predicted model, not a curated record.
GCAAAUACAUUUUUUCCAGUUUACCUGAUGAAAUUUGUCUGGACAUUGUAAGGAUCCAACUCACAAGGAAGUCCAAAUUCAAGCUGCUCAUAUGAAAAGAAAAAGCUGAAGAUUUUGAAAAGGAUGCCUGGUUCACUGGCCACAAACUGAAGUGCUUCUGCCUGCAUAGACCGUAUCAAUCCAUUCUUCAGUUCCAAGGAACAUGAAAAAAUAACACAUAUCAAAGAACAGCUGCAGGAGUUUAUGUUGAUCAGGCCAGUCGACUCAGCUUGUGACCCAUUAGAAGCCUGACUGUUUUCUGUAAAAUUGGUUUCCAGACAGCUCUUCCCAAUCAUGAGUCUGGUAGACAAUUACUGUUUCCUACUUUAUGCUGUUGUACAUGUCACUGUUAAAUAUAU